Molecule: long non-coding RNA, 236 nt
Filed under: Lathyrus oleraceus (garden pea)
Lineage: Eukaryota; Viridiplantae; Streptophyta; Magnoliopsida; Fabales; Fabaceae
Description: Pisum sativum (pea) long non-coding RNA (PSAT_LNC029541)
Source: RNAcentral
AUGAUAUUAGGCCACCACUUUUGCAUAUUCUUUUUGUGUGUGGUAUAUUUCAUGAGCAUAGUCUAUUAUACUAUGUCUCUAACAUGCAUUAACACCAAAAUUCUAUUGCCCGACCUCAAAUAGUUGUGACUUCUACAUAAGUCCAAUAUUCUUUUUGUGUGUGGUAUAUUUCAUGAGCAUAGUCUAUUAUACUAUGUCUCUAACAUGCAUUAACACCAAAAUUCUAUUGCCCGACC